GAGCUCAGCUCGAGGUUGGGUGUUAUUUUUAGUUUAUUUGUGUUUAGUCCCCUUGUAACUGCAAAGUCCAGAAGAUCUGGUUUUUUGUUCAGGUCAGUCGGCCAAUGUGUCGGUGUUCCUGUGGAUAAUAUAUUGAGGUUAUUAUUUCUAAUGUAUUUUUCCAGAGUUCUGCCUCGAGGUGUAAUGUUUCUUGACCCCCAUAGCGUGUGCUUUGAGUUGUAGUCUCCCGCUGCGAUGUACUUGUCCCCUAGGUCCUGGAAGUAUUCUUCCCACAUUUGUGAUGUUAUUUUGUGUCGCGGAGGCACAUAUACUGCUGACAACUGGAAGUAGUUGCUGCUAGUUUGAACUGUAACGGUGGUUGCUUGUAAAUAUUCUUUGUUAACUUGGCUGUGUAGAUA
Molecule: unclassified non-coding RNA, 398 nt
Filed under: Bombus terrestris (buff-tailed bumblebee)
Lineage: Eukaryota; Metazoa; Arthropoda; Insecta; Hymenoptera; Apidae
Description: misc RNA ENSBTSG00005039222.1
Source: RNAcentral